This 410-nucleotide ribosomal RNA is filed under the name uncultured bacterium. Its description in RNAcentral is "bacterial SSU rRNA". It matches the Rfam family "Bacterial small subunit ribosomal RNA", at positions 508 to 916 of the family's 1533-position model. The record is from RNAcentral.
GCAGCCGCCGCGGUAAUACGGAGGGUGCGAGCGUUGUCCGGAAUCACUGGGCGUAAAGGGCGCGUAGGCGGCCUGAUAAGUAGGGGGUGAAAUCCUGCGGCUUAACCGCAGGGCUGCCUUCUAAACUGUCAGGCUAGAGCACGGUAGAGGCAGAUGGAAUUCCCGGUGUAGCGGUGGAAUGCGUAGAGAUCGGGAAGAACAUCAGUGGCGAAGGCGGUCUGCUGGGCCGUUGCUGACGCUGAGGCGCGACAGCGUGGGGAGCAAACAGGAUUAGAUACCCUGGUAGUCCACGCCGUAAACGAUGGGCACUAGGCGUCGGGGGGAGCGACCCUCCCGGUGCCGUCGCUAACGCAGUAAGUGCCCCGCCUGGGGAGUACGGCCGCAAGGCUGAAACUCAAAUAAAUUGACGG